RNAcentral lists this long non-coding RNA (1237 nucleotides) under Homo sapiens (human). RNAcentral describes it as "HSALNT0270107". The record is from RNAcentral. Lineage: Eukaryota; Metazoa; Chordata; Mammalia; Primates; Hominidae.
GGCCCCCAAGCUGAGAACCGGGAGCCGGAGGAAAUCAUAGCGAAAUCUCAACCUGAUGUAGCCCCAUCAGCAUCACACACACACUCAGAGCAAAAUGGCCUGCUCUUCAAUGUAGCUUAGUUUAGUUCAAUUGUCCUGCCCACCCCCUCCUGACCCUCCUGCCGCUGAGGGGUGGUAUUUGAAAGAACAGGUUCUUUCCUCUCUUCUCCUUGGGACAGCAACAGCACAGAGAGUGGGCCGCCAUCUCUUACUGCCCACUCAACCGUUGCUGGGGACUGAUUCUUUCAGCUCUACAUAGAAUUCAAGAACUAUAUUUGGAUCUGCUUCAGAGCAGUAAUCCCCACAGCCUUAAAACAUGCAAAAUAAAAAUAAAUUAAUCAUCCAUCAGCAUGGAUAACCAAUGAGCUGGAACCAGUAAGAUGUGGCUGGGGAAGGGGGCUUCUCAUCUGUCAGCUGGGGAGCCUCAUGGGGCCUUACAUGGACUCAGCUUCUUACCAGUUCCAGAAGAGCACCCAAACGGCCCUGGGAUUUUCAACUCUGAAGCAUAAGGCAAGUUAAUGAAGCACCCAAUUCACACCAGCUUUUAUCUGUCAGAGAAACACCAGCAAGCAAGGUAGAGACAACAAGCCAAACCCUGAUGUGCAAGUAUGAACUUCAUGUUAAUUAGGAAUCGGAAGAAUGUGUGGGUUUCUCUAAUGCACUCAUCAUACGAAGCCAGCUGAUUCAAAUGCUCUCAACCUGAGCUUCGGGUCAUUUGUGUUAGCUGUAAGGCCAUCUGAGGCAGAUGCAUUGAACCUGACCUUGAGAGUAUCCUUGACCACUGGACCAAGAGGCCAGAGACUCUACAAGUGUGCUCAGGCCAGAUGGCUAACUCAACUAGUGCCUGGCAGGAAGACUCAAGAUGCCAGCUUCUCCCCUAAACCAUGUGAACAUUCAACCAUUUUAAACUAUAAAAACAGCAAUUUCAACCAAAACACUGGACCUUUGCCUAUUUUACUGGAAGUUUCUCUCUUAGAGUAUGAUGAAAAGAGGAUUGGUUGUAAGAGACCUGGCUGCAAGGCUCACCUCCACUAAGUAGCCAUAGACAUUUUGGCCACUAAUGUGCUGUGAGUCACCUUAUUCCUCUGGUCCACAGCUUCUUCAUCUGGGAAAGGAAGACAUUGGAUUGUAAAGUAAGAAUAGCCCACAUUUUUUAGCAUUUGCAAUAUGCUAGGCAAUGUGCUAAUUGCUUGAUUAU